GCCCGGAUGGUGGAAUGGUAGACACGUUGGACUUAAAAUCCAAUGGCCAUAACGGCUGUGGGGGUUCAAGUCCCCCUCCGGGUACCU
Molecule: transfer RNA, 87 nt
Filed under: Bacteroidales bacterium 6E
Lineage: Bacteria; Pseudomonadati; Bacteroidota; Bacteroidia; Bacteroidales
Description: tRNA-Leu
Rfam family: tRNA
About the family: Transfer RNA (tRNA) molecules are approximately 80 nucleotides in length.
Source: RNAcentral